GUUUGAUCAUGGCUCAGGAUAAACGCUGGCGGCGUGCCUAAUACAUGCAAGUCGUGGGGCAGCAGGUGUAGCAAUACAUGCUGGCGACCGGCAAACGGGUGCGGAACACGUACGCAACCUUCCUUUAACUGGAGAAUAGCCCCUCGAAAGAGGGAUUAAUACUCCGUAACAUCCCGACACAGCAUUGUGAUGGGAUUAUAGCUCCGGCGGUUAAAGAUGGGCGUGCGCCUGAUUAGGUAGUUGGCGGGGUAACGGCCCACCAAGCCUGCGAUCAGUAACUGGUGUGAGAGCACGACCAGUCACACGGGCACUGAGACACGGGCCCGACUCCUACGGGAGGCAGCAGUAAGGAAUAUUGGUCAAUGGACGCAAGUCUGAACCAGCCAUGCCGCGUGGAGGAUUAAGGCCCUCUGGGUUGUAAACUCCUUUUAUCUGGGAAGAAAUGUACUUUUUCUUGAGUACUUGACGGUACCAGAGGAAUAAGCACCGGCUAACUCCGUGCCAGCAGCCGCGGUAAUAGCU
Molecule: ribosomal RNA, 522 nt
Filed under: uncultured bacterium
Lineage: Bacteria
Description: bacterial SSU rRNA
Rfam family: Bacterial small subunit ribosomal RNA
Source: RNAcentral